GCCUAGUUAGCUUAGUUGAAAGUGCGUCUGCCUUGUAAGCGCUAGGCCGCGGGUUCGAUUCCCGCCCGGGGCG
RNAcentral lists this transfer RNA (73 nucleotides) under Diaphorina citri (Asian citrus psyllid). It matches the Rfam family "tRNA". From Rfam's summary of the family: Transfer RNA (tRNA) molecules are approximately 80 nucleotides in length. Lineage: Eukaryota; Metazoa; Arthropoda; Insecta; Hemiptera; Psyllidae. The record is from Rfam by way of RNAcentral.